RNAcentral lists this ribosomal RNA (668 nucleotides) under Pediculus humanus corporis (human body louse). RNAcentral's name for it is "partial large subunit ribosomal RNA". The stretch from base 497 to 654 matches the Rfam family "Archaeal large subunit ribosomal RNA", at positions 1884 to 2089 of the family's 2987-position model. The record is from RNAcentral. Lineage: Eukaryota; Metazoa; Arthropoda; Insecta; Psocodea; Pediculidae.
UUAAGAACAUUAAUUAUAAAGUCAUACUCCGAAAGGUUUAUCUUUUAAAUCAUUAAAAAGUAAUUAUAAAUAAUGUACCUUUUGCAUCAGGGGUUAAGAAAUAAGAUUAUUAAAUUAAUAACCUCCCGAAAGAAGCAGGAUCUUAAACUUUAUUGUUGGUUGUUGUUUCAUUAACAUUAAUAAUAAUAUUUAAGAAGCUAAAAGUUAUAACGACUCUUCUGAUCACCUGGUUUGCUAUUUAGUGUUUUUUAAGAAGGCAGAGAGUUAAUUGAAGUUUAAGCACUUUAUUAUUUUCUUUUAAUUAUAAAGGGACAAGCUUUUAUAACUUUAGGAAGAUCAAUUUAUAGCUUAUCUUCAUGACAAGAUAGACGUUAUUUAUCUAUUUAUAGAUCUACCUUUAGAAUAGCAUCUUUAGUGAAAUAAUUUUUAACUAUAAAAAUAAUCUUAACAUUAGUACUUCAAUAAAUCAAUUAUUAAAAGGAACUAGGCAAACAUUUAGCCGGACUGUUUAAUAAAAACAUUUCCUCUUGCAUAAAAGGGAGGUAAAGUCUGCUCGGUGUAAUUGAUUAACAGCUGCAGUAACUUGACUGUACAAAGGUAGCGUAAUCACUUGUCUUUUAAUUGAAGACUAGAAUGAACGGCUUAACCAAGCUAAUUCUGUCUCUUUU